This 254-nucleotide ribosomal RNA is filed under the name uncultured bacterium. RNAcentral describes it as "partial 16S ribosomal RNA". It matches the Rfam family "Bacterial small subunit ribosomal RNA", at positions 524 to 776 of the family's 1533-position model. The record is from RNAcentral.
UACGGAGGGUGCGAGCGUUUGUCCGGAUUUAUUGGGUUUAAAGGGUGCGUAGGUGGCUUUUUAAGUCAGUGGUGAAAUACAGCCGCUCAACGGUUGAGGUGCCAUUGAUACUGAAGAGCUUGAAACAAGUGGAGGCUGCCGGAAUGGAUGGUGUAGCGGUGAAAUGCAUAGAUAUCAUCCAGAACACCGAUUGCGAAGGCAGGUGGCUACGUUUGAUUUGACACUGAGGCACGAAAGCAUGGGGAGCAAACAGG